This 248-nucleotide long non-coding RNA is filed under the name Elaeis guineensis (African oil palm). RNAcentral's name for it is "long non-coding RNA (EGUI_LNC071225)". The record is from RNAcentral. Lineage: Eukaryota; Viridiplantae; Streptophyta; Magnoliopsida; Arecales; Arecaceae.
UUACUCUCAUCUCUGUGUGAACGUAGAUUUCGGUCGAACUACGUUAAAUUUUGGUAUUUUUACGAUUACUGUGAUUUCUCUGUACUUUUGGUAUUAUCGUUAGCGUGAUUUUUUGCUUUCGCUUUAUCUAUUAUCUUUCAGUACUUAAAUCUCAACAAGUGGUAUCAAAGUCAAAUUUUAUUGAAUUUAGAGUACUGAAAAAGAAAUUGAGAUGCUAAUAGAUAGAGGAUCAAUCUUCGUUGGGUACC